This 253-nucleotide ribosomal RNA is filed under the name uncultured bacterium. RNAcentral's name for it is "partial 16S ribosomal RNA". It matches the Rfam family "Bacterial small subunit ribosomal RNA", at positions 524 to 776 of the family's 1533-position model. The record is from RNAcentral.
UACGUAGGGUGCAAGCGUUGUCCGGAAUUAUUGGGCGUAAAGAGCUCGUAGGCGGUUUGUCACGUCUGCUGUGAAAACUCGGGGCUUAACUCCGGGCCUGCAGCCGAUACGGGCAGACUAGAGUUCGGCAGGGGAGACUGGAAUUCCUGGUGUAGCGGUGAAAUGCGCAGAUAUCAGGAGGAACACCGGUGGCGAAGGCGGGUCUCUGGGCCGAUACUGACGCUGAGGAGCGAAAGCGUGGGGAGCGAACAGG